RNAcentral lists this long non-coding RNA (2269 nucleotides) under Lytechinus variegatus (green sea urchin). RNAcentral describes it as "uncharacterized LOC121420328". The record is from RNAcentral. Lineage: Eukaryota; Metazoa; Echinodermata; Echinoidea; Temnopleuroida; Toxopneustidae.
AUAAAUUGUACAUUUUCUAGUUAGCGCUUGCAAUUAGAGGUGUGUUGGUGUUUUAUAGCUCCAUGGCAAGUUAGGUGCUCACCAUUGGGGUCUACUCCAGCCUCCUUUGUGAAUCUUCUUUCACCGAUUAUUCAUCAAGGUGAAGCUGGCCAUAUGAGGCAAUCAGAAGCAGACUGAAUCAGUAGCCACCUCUAUCUCAAAAAGUUGGCAAGACAAGUGUACAGAAAUUCCUUACAUUCAACAUGGCUAUAGCUCUGGAAGUACAAGGUAUCAUUGGCAAAUCAGAUAAUCAAAUACCACGUAGUAGUGCAGGUAUUCUAAGAGAGCAGUGGACAGUUCAUUGAGGGAUUAGUUGUCAAGUAAGGUGAAAGAAAAGCAGAUUGAAGGAAAGGAUUAUCCAGAUUAGGUCUCUGGAUCUAACAAUGACAUUACCAGGGGAGGUUUCAUGAAAGGACUUGUUGGACUGAUUAUCUGACUGUUUUUAUCCAACUGUUACCAUAGUAACAGCGCCUCCCAGUCAAUCAGAGUCAAGGAAAUAUGUGAGAUCUGACAGCUCGUCAGACUAAAUUAUUGAUGAAACAAUCCCCUAAUCAUCAAGGAGUGAAGAAGUUUUAUAGUUCUUUGUCUUCCUUGUAAUCCUGUGAGGUCUGAUGAAGCGAGUCUUCCAUCCAGUGUACAAGAUAACAAUAGGUCUGAUGACAUGGGGUUGGAGUGUAUAAUUCCACCGAAAACUUAUGGAAAAAGACUUUGCUAGGUGUCCAAGAUGAGGAACAAUGGUCCAAUGUUGAGCCAGACAAUAUGAUUGAUGUUGAAGACGUUUUAUAGGCAAUCGUCAACGUUUGGAAAAUGCUUAUGACAAUUCACAAUCAAAUAUUGAGAAUGGAAAAAAGAAAAUAUCGAAGACUCCAAGAGUGACCUGAAGACCAUGUCUGAGUGAUGCUUUUAAAACCAUGGAGACCGAUACUGCAAUUUUUGCACAAGAUCAGGAGCUCGACCCAAAGGCAGAAAUGGGAAGGAGAUUGUUUGAUUUGUGGACGUGGUCAAUGAAGACAACAGUGUGUAGGAGUCGGCACUCUGAAUUGGACAAGGCUCUGGAAAUACACGUAGAGAUUCUUUGGCUAAAUGAUUUGCGAGGAUUGAGCUUGCUGGAUAGAGAUAGAGAGAAACUGCCACGUUAUUCUUGGGAUUUCAUCGAAUCUUGAAAGAAGGGUGCCCUCAUGUAAGACGGUGCCUGGAAACAUUCAAGAAACGUAUGACUGAGCAGCUGGAGAAAUAUCCUGCACUACAAGGUUUUCAGCGAGUGGCCAAGCAUGGGACGUCCCAGGCGCAAGAUAAGGCCGCCCUCAACGAUGACGGACAGACCAAGCUUCCAAAUGUCACACUGCAAGAGUAGCCCAGGUUUCUGAAUUAUGUCAUAAAGAGCGGGAGGGGGGGGGCGCAUUCAUCAAAAAUCACAUUUUAAUGUGUGUAUGGUUUUAAUUUUCAUUUUGUGAUUGUAAAAGGUACAGGAUAUCUCCCUUAAAUGCAACUGUUUAGACCAAUAUUAAUGGGUGAUGUUAUAAACGGGGGAGGGGGGGGGGGGGGCAAAGUGGGAAAUUCUAGUAAAUACUGGUAAAUACUGCCUCAAUAAUUUGGAAAUGCAGGGAAAUACUAUGAAAGUUUCUUGAAUAUUUUCCUGGUAUCGCCCAGGCAUUUCUAGCAUUCUCCUGUACCACCCUUUACAUCCUCUAUUACUUCCCAAUAUUCCCCCUCCCCCCAGUAUUUCCCACCUGGUUGGGACUGCAUUUUCAUGGGAAAUUGCCAACCCUGAUUCGAAGUCCUGGAACCAGUAACACAAAGGUCAGCAAUUAAUCGUACGCUUUAUUCUUAUGAUGAAUUAUACAUUGUAGCCAAUGCUAAACUUUGUGUUGAGGGCCACAGGUCUAAAGUCCAUACUAAACCAUCAUAUUGAAAAAGGAAGAUUAGUGUGAUUAGAGUCACACUUAAAUAUUUAUAAAAAAAAGAAAGAUAAAUAUUCCAAAGAAUUCACUGAAAUCCAAUUCAUGUUUUUGUUCUCAGUUACAUGUUAGGAUAAUUUUUUUGAAAAUCAUAAUGUGCAUGAUUAUUAAUAAUCUGUAUGUGAUGAAUGUAUUGGCACCCAGAAACCCAUUUGGUGUAAUCAAGCUUUUUUUAAGGUUCUCCGACAACACAACCUACAUGUAUAGACUCAAGGGACCUACUGCAGAAAGAGUUGAUGCAUUUAUAUACAGCCCUAUUUUUUGUACACAAU